Long non-coding RNA from Hydra vulgaris (swiftwater hydra), 1354 nucleotides. RefSeq lists it as uncharacterized. The record is from RefSeq and is a predicted model, not a curated record. NCBI's taxonomy places the organism in Eukaryota, Metazoa, Cnidaria, Hydrozoa, Anthoathecata, Hydridae.
CAAAUGUUAAAAAACAACAUUACAUUGCUUUCGCGGUGAAGUUACAUGCAUCUUGUUUUAGCAUGUAAAUAUCUUAAAUUAGUCUUAAAAAAUGGCAAGCAAGUAUAUUAUAAACGUUCGUUUGAACCAAAGCAAUAUCAGUUUAGUCCAGCUAGUAAACCUUCAAGUACAAGGAAACCUGGUCCAGCACGACAGCUUUUUGUUGAAGAUGAAGUGUUACUUACUUUAAUGCGUAUUUGACUUGACUCACUAUUACAAGAUUUAGCAUUUCGUUUUAAAAUUUCAGUAAGUCACAUGUGUAGGAUUUUAACUACAUUUAUAACUUUAUUAGCCCGAGAACUUGAACCAAUAAUUUAUUGACCUGCCAGAAGAAACAUUAAGUUUUACACAUCCUCAUUUUAUUGGAGAUUUCGUUUAUGUUGAAGGUAUUGGUGACUUUAUUGAAAAAACUGUUCAAAAAUCUGCUAAUGCUAAAGCUCAAUAUCAAACAUAUAGUUCUUAUAAAUAUUUUUAAUGUACCGUGUGAAGCCUGCAAAAUCCUGGUUGCUACUUGGCGCUUCCCAGACCUUUCCUGAGACCUGUUCGAGAGUGGCAACCAACUACUGUUCAUUUUUUUUUGAAAAAAAGAACAGUGGUCAGUUGCCACUCUCGGGCUCGUCCCAAAAAAGGUCCAGGAGUGUCGAGCUCUCACCUAGAUUUUACAUGCUGUUUUGUUUGCUCUUUAAAUUUUGGUUAUUAUUGUGCUAUUUUAUGGAAUUUGGUUAGUUUUUUGUUAGAUAUUUGCAUUUUAAUACCUUUGCAGCCUGCAAAAUUCUAAUUAUCACUUGGCACUCCCCAGACCCUUUUCAAGACUUGUUUGAGAGAGGCAACAAACGACUAUUCAUUUUUUUAUAAAAAGGAACAGUGGUUGAUUGCUCCCCUUGGGCAGUUCCCAAAAAUGGUCCGGGCUUGUCAAGUUCUAACCUGAAUUUUGCAGGCAGGUGUUUACUCUUAAAUUUAUAGUUAUUGUGCUAUUUUAUGAAAUUUAGGUAAUUUUUUAUUAACAUUGGCAUUUUAAUAUCUUUGCAGCAUGCAAAAUCCUGAUCAUGACUAGGCAACCCCAAUACUUUUUCCGAGACACAUUUGACAGAGACAACCAAAUACUGCUCAUUUUUUCUAAAAAAAGAACAGCAAUUGGUUGCCCUCCUCGAGUAGGUUUCGAAAACGGUCCGGAGGUGCCGAGUUCUGACGAGGAUUUUGUUCUUAAAUCUUUGGUUGUUAUUGUACUAUUUUAUGAAGUUUGAUUAACUUUUUAUUUUAUAUUCGCAUUUUAAUGUCUUUGCUUGCACAAUUAAAUAUCAUUAAUUUUGAAAAA